AACGCGAAGAACCUUACCUGGGUUGGAACCCUCCAGAAGUCCGCAGAGAUGUGGAUGUGCCCGCAAGGGAAUUGGAUGUCCAGGUGCUGCAUGGCUGUCGUCAGCUCGUGUCGUGAGAUGUUGGGUUAAGUCCCGCAACGAGCGCAACCCUUGUCGUUAGUUGCCAGCGGUUCGGCCGGGCACUCUAACGAGACUGCCGGUGUUAAACCGGAGGAAGGUGGGGAUGACGUCAAGUCCUCAUGGCCCUUAUGCCCAGGGCUACACACGUGCUACAAUGACCGGUACAAAGGGUUGCAAACCUGUGAAGGCAAGCUAAUCCCAAAAAACCGGCCUCAGUUCGGAUCGGAGUCUGCAACUCGACUCCGUGAAGUUGGAAUCGCUAGUAAUCGCGGAUCAGCCAUGCCGCGGUGAAUACGUUCCCGGGCCUUGUACACACCGUAGAGAC
This 445-nucleotide ribosomal RNA is filed under the name uncultured bacterium. RNAcentral describes it as "bacterial SSU rRNA". It matches the Rfam family "Bacterial small subunit ribosomal RNA", at positions 958 to 1400 of the family's 1533-position model. The record is from RNAcentral.